RNAcentral lists this ribosomal RNA (452 nucleotides) under Arkys sp. LB-2014d. Its description in RNAcentral is "partial 16S ribosomal RNA". Lineage: Eukaryota; Metazoa; Arthropoda; Arachnida; Araneae; Araneidae. The record is from RNAcentral.
UUUUUAUAAAAAAUAAUUYUAAGUAAAAUCUGCUCCAUGACAAAUUAAAUAGCCGCAGAAAAUUACACUGUGCUAAGGUAGCAUAAUCAUUAGUCUAAUAAUUAAAGACUAGAAUGAAAGAUUUAACAUUUUAAAAACUUUUUUGAAAUUUUUUAAUAAAAAUUAUACCAAACAUAAAAAUAUGUUUCUAAAAAAAAAAGACGACAAGACCCUAUCGAACUUCACACUAAAGUUAAGCUGGGGCAGCUAAUUAAUAAUAAUUUUAAUACCAAUAUUAAAAAAAAAGACCCAACAAUGUUGAAUUAUUGAAUAAUGUUACCGUAGGGAUAACAGCGUAAUUUCUUUCCAAAGCUCUUAUUUAAAAAGAAGAUUGCGACCUCGAUGUUGAAUUAAUUUACUAUAAUAACGCAAAUGUUUUACAAGUAAGUCUGUUCGACUUUUAAAUAAUUACA